Molecule: ribosomal RNA, 889 nt
Filed under: Mentissa gracilicosta
Lineage: Eukaryota; Metazoa; Mollusca; Gastropoda; Stylommatophora; Clausiliidae
Description: partial 16S ribosomal RNA
Rfam family: Archaeal large subunit ribosomal RNA (bases 371-618)
Source: RNAcentral
UUUAAUUACCGAGUGUAUAUUUCCUAAGCUCCCCGAAGUAAGAAGAUCUAUUUAUUUUAUGGAUUUUAUUUUUUAGAAUAGUCGUUUAUAGUGUUGCAUAACUAUACAAAAAAAAAUAAUUAGUGGUGAAAGGCUAUCCAAUUCUUACUGAUAUCUGGAUUAAAUCAAAAAAUAUUUAGUAUUAAGGACAAUUUUACAACACUAAGAUUGUAAAAUCACAAGAGCUUAUAUAUUUCGUGUUAAAAUGCAUUAUUAAUAUAAAUGCAUGAAUAGAAUAUGAAAAAAUAUGUUUAUAUUAUGACUUUUAUGAUUAUAGAUUUAUAGAUUUAUUAAUAUUUUAAGAAUUUUAAUAAUGUUUAAAUGAGUAUAAUAUAACAUAAAAAUAUAAGGAACUCGGCAAAUUUUUCCCUCAACUGUUUAUCAAAAACAUAGCUAGUUGAGUUAUAAUAAUUAGUAGUUCUCUGCCCAGUGAAUAUUUUUAACGGCCGCAGUACACUGACUGUGCAAAGGUAGCGUAAUAAUUUGGCUUUUAAUUGAAGUCGAGUAUGAAUGAGUGAAUGGGGGAAUGCUGUCUUAUACUUUUUGUUUAAAAUUUACUUAGGAAGUGAAAAUUCUUCUAUGUUUUAACCAAAAGACGAGAAGACCCUAAAAAUUUUUACUAAAGGGCAAUGAUUAUUCUCUUAUGUUUUUGUUGGGGCAACAGGUUACUAAUAUAAAAGUAACUAUAAAUAAGGGAAUUAUUUAAGCGAGUUUUAGCUAAUAAUAAUUAAAAUUACUUUAGGGAUAACAGCAUAAUUUUACAAAAAAGACUUGUGACCCUCGAUGUUGGAUUAGGUGCUAUUUAAGUUAACCAUUUAAAUAGCUGGUUCUGUUCGAACUAUAGUUACCU